AUACUUACUUUGAAAGCACAUAUACUAAAAUUGGAACAAUACAGAAGAGAUUAGCAUGGCACAAGGAUGACAAGCAAAUUCAUAAAGUGUUCCAUGUUAAA
This 101-nucleotide small nuclear RNA is filed under the name Castor canadensis (American beaver). Lineage: Eukaryota; Metazoa; Chordata; Mammalia; Rodentia; Castoridae. The record is from RNAcentral.